RNAcentral lists this long non-coding RNA (873 nucleotides) under Cricetulus griseus (Chinese hamster). RNAcentral's name for it is "lncRNA (ENSCGRG00015029883.1)". The record is from RNAcentral. Lineage: Eukaryota; Metazoa; Chordata; Mammalia; Rodentia; Cricetidae.
CUUUUGGAUUAGUCUAUAAUUCUCUCAAGAUCAACAUCAGUGGAAAUAUCAGGCUUUGUGUAAAGGUUGUGCCCUUUAGGUUUCUGGAGGCAGAAUGCCUAGGGAGGUUAUUGUGUUUUGGGAUGAAAAAGAAGAGUAUUUUGUGGCCAUAAAGCAAAGGCAGUUCUAGUUCAAGCAGCAGCAAUAUUAAUGGGUUUGUUUUGCUUUUCCUUUGUAGAUACUCUGAGUAAUUAAUCAUCAGGGGAUCCAACAGUCUUCUUUGUCUGUCCUGUACCACACAUCAAUCUACAAAAGUGCUUAUGGUCCUUGAUGGGAUACUCAUCUUCACUAACCCUCUUGAUUUGUUUGAUGAGCAUCUUCUGGGCAGCAGGUGCUCCCCAAACAGAAAGCAGUGAGCAGUACAUGUAGGAAUCCUCAUGAAAUCAUAUGACUAGUGUAAAGGAGACAGACUGUAGAUGCAUUGUUAAUGAAAAUCCUUGUGUUUCAGGUUUAUGACUUCUGUAAGAAUGGAAUGUGGGCAUUUUUUGACAUCCGCAUAUCUAAAGGAGACCAUACGAGUUCUGCAUUCUAUUUUAAGACAAAAUACCUGACAUAACCAACUUAAAAAAGAGAGGAACUCCUGCAAAGCUGAAAAUGCAUGCUCAGGAUGUGGGAGAGGGGCUCUUGAGAUGGCUGAGAAGGUAAAGGCACUUUCUGCCAAAUUAAUAACCUGAGUUCAAUCCCUAGAACCCCCUAGUAGAGGGUAAAACUGGCUCCAGUGAAUUUUCCUCUGUCCUAUACACAUGCCACAGAGUGGCAUGUGCCCCCAUAUCCAUCAUCCCUCCCAACUAAAUAAAUAAAUAUUAAGUCAGCCAGAGCUAUGCAGUGAAACCC